CGUAGAGUUUGAUCCUGGCUCAGGACGAACGCUGGCGGCGUGCUUAACACAUGCAAGUCGAGCGGUAAGGCCUUUCGGGGUACACGAGCGGCGAACGGGUGAGUAACACGUGGGUGAUCUGCCCUGCACUCUGGGAUAAGCUUGGGAAACUGGGUCUAAUACCGGAUAUGACUGCAUGCCGCAUGGUGUGUGGUGGAAAGAUUUAUCGGUGCAGGAUGGGCCCGCGGCCUAUCAGCUUGUUGGUGGGGUAAUGGCCUACCAAGGCGACGACGGGUAGCCGACCUGAGAGGGUGACCGGCCACACUGGGACUGAGACACGGCCCAGACUCCUACGGGAGGCAGCAGUGGGGAAUAUUGCACAAUGGGCGGAAGCCUGAUGCAGCGACGCCGCGUGAGGGAUGAAGGCCUUCGGGUUGUAAACCUCUUUCAGCAGGGACGAAGCGUGAGUGACGGUACCUGCAGAAGAAGCACCGGCUAACUACGUGCCAGCAGCCGCGGUAAUACGUAGGGUGCGAGCGUUGUCCGGAAUUACUGGGCGUAAAGAGUUCGUAGGCGGUUUGUCGCGUCGUUUGUGAAAACCCGGGGCUCAACUUCGGGCUUGCAGGCGAUACGGGCAGACUUGAGUGUUUCAGGGGAGACUGGAAUUCCUGGUGUAGCGGUGAAAUGCGCAGAUAUCAGGAGGAACACCGGUGGCGAAGGCGGGUCUCUGGGAAACAACUGACGCUGAGGAACGAAAGCGUGGGUAGCAAACAGGAUUAGAUACCCUGGUAGUCCACGCCGUAAACGGUGGGCGCUAGGUGUGGGUUCUUUCCACGGGAUCUGUGCCGUAGCUAACGCAUUAAGCGCCCCGCCUGGGGAGUACGGCCGCAAGGCUAAAACUCAAAGGAAUUGACGGGGGCCCGCACAAGCGGCAGAGCACUGUGGAUUAAUUCGAUGCAACGCGAAGAACCUUACCUGGGUUUGACAUACACCGGAAAACCGUAGAGAUACGGUCCCCCUUGUGGUCGGUGUACAGGUGGUGCAUGGCUGUUGUCAGCUCGUGUCGUGAGAUGUUGGGUUAAGUCCCGCAACGAGCGCAACCCUUGUCUUAUGUUGCCAGCGCGUUAUGGCGGGGACUCGUAAGAGACUGCCGGGGUCAACUCGGAGGAAGGUGGGGACGACGUCAAGUCAUCAUGCCCCUUAUGUCCAGGGCUUCACACAUGCUACAAUGGCCAGUACAGAGGGCUGCGAGACCGUGAGGUGGAGCGAAUCCCUUAAAGCUGGUCUCAGUUCGGAUCGGGGUCUGCAACUCGACCCCGUGAAGUCGGAGUCGCUAGUAAUCGCAGAUCAGCAACGCUGCGGUGAAUACGUUCCCGGGCCUUGUACACACCGCCCGUCACGUCAUGAAAGUCGGUAACACCCGAAGCCGGUGGCCUAACCCUUGUGGAGGGAGCCCUCGAAAGUGGGAUCGGCGAUAGGGACAAAAUCUUAACACGGUAACCGUAAAAA
RNAcentral lists this ribosomal RNA (1488 nucleotides) under Rhodococcus sp. IHBB 9289. RNAcentral describes it as "bacterial SSU rRNA". It matches the Rfam family "Bacterial small subunit ribosomal RNA". The record is from RNAcentral. Lineage: Bacteria; Bacillati; Actinomycetota; Actinomycetes; Mycobacteriales; Nocardiaceae.